GAAGGUUCAAGAUUCAUGCAAAACCAGUUUAGAGAACGAACUGCCACAAUGCUUUACAUGAGAAAGAGAAACAGGACAAACAAAUCUAGGAAGAGGGCGGAGAUCUGGCCCAGCCGGGCAUCAGUUUUCCAGGGCCAGCAGAGGAGGAACUAGGUAGAGUACAGAUAACAGCCUUGAUUAUUGGAAAGAUUAGAUGUCACCAGACAUGCUCCAGGUUUGAGUGGCAGUCUGCAAAGCCAGGCA
This 243-nucleotide long non-coding RNA is filed under the name Dasypus novemcinctus (nine-banded armadillo). RNAcentral describes it as "lncRNA (ENSDNOG00000049814.1)". Lineage: Eukaryota; Metazoa; Chordata; Mammalia; Cingulata; Dasypodidae. The record is from RNAcentral.